GAAUCACAAGCUAAGAUAAAUGCUGCAUAGCUCUAAACUCCGGAAUAUCUAACAAUUGAAAAGUACAGAAGGCUAACUACUAAAGAAGGAAUAGAAAGGGACUCCUUGGUCUGCGGACGCGGCAGAUGUACCUCGGAGCCUCUAAGCAGUCACCUCCCUUAAGUAGGGUACGCCUGAUCAGCGGUAUCUGGAUCUGCACAUGAAAAAAAAUGUAGAAAGGGCAUGAGUACACUAUAACGGUAUUCAGUAAGUGCCAAGCCUAACCUCGAUCGGGUAGUGAUGAGGAAGGUCAGGGCCCUACUGAGAUUAAAUAAAAGUUAUAAUUAAAUAGUAUAGAACAAAUAGUUUAACAUGUGCACUAAUUAAAUUAACAUAGUAUAUAUAUAGCAUCAACAAUUACACAGUACAUGUAGAGACAAUUUAAGCACUGAAGGGAAAAUGCAGCUCAGUUCCAAUAAUACCAACCGGUGAUUUACCAGGAUACUGUCUUAAAGUCCCAAUUAUAACUGUCUAGUGGAUCUCCCGAGAUACCGUCCUGUAGUCCAUUAUAUAUAUGUUUGAAGAUUCUCCUAGGAUCCCGUCCCGUAGUCCAACUAUCAAUUCCUGGAGAUCUACCAGGAAUAUAACCCGUAGUCUCAAAUGUAAAUACCCAAUACAAACACACUCUCGUAGUUCCAUAUAACUGCACAUGGGGAUCUAUCAAAAAUCUAACAUGCAGUCCCAAUGUAAAGGUGCAGGGGGGAUCUAUCGGGAAUCUAACCCAUAAUCCCAAAGUAAACCGAGAAGGAAGAGCUACCGGAAUUACACAUCCAUAGUCCCAAUAUAAAUACACAGCAAUAGCAAGAAAAUAUUCAAAGAAGGGAAAUGUCAUAUUAAGGCAACUAAUAGUUCUAGCCUAGCAUGCUGCAUAGAGUUUAGGUAAACAGAUUGAACAAUUAAAGCAAUUGAAUCACUUAGAAAUGCUUUCCUAAGCUAACACUAGAUUAAAUAAUAUAAGUAAUAAAAGCAGGGGAAGGAACAAACUAAUAAGUGCUUAAAGAAAAAAACCGUAUUUCCAACAAUUUGCACAAGUAUGCACUCAUCACUCACGUACAAGGCAUUUCAAUUACCAAACAUAUCAAAUCCUAAGGGGAAGGUCCCCCACACAAGGUUAGACAAGCCACUUACCUCGAACCGGCUCAAAUGAACUUGAAACCACACUUUUUCAUGAAAAUCCGAAUUCAAAUGGCCCAAAUCAAUUCAAUUCAAUUGAAUAUUGUAAAUACACCACAAGUAACUAAUUCAACAAUUAAAGUCUAAGCUAAUAUGCGAAAUUAUGUAAAAUAACAUAAACGCGCCUCAGGCCCACGUCUCGGUUUUGGGUGAAAUUUACAUUUUCAGAAACCUCAUACUCUCACGAGUCAAUACAUGAUAAGAACAUUGAAAUCGGAGUCCAAAUGAUCCCUCAAUUCCUCAAUUCAUCAAUUAAAUGUCUCUUAAACUUAAGCCCUAAUUACCCAUUAUUCCCAAAUUUCUCACUAUUAAUUAGGUCUUUAAUCAUAUGAAAAUGUGUUAUGAAGUCAAGGACGUUACCUCCAAGCGAUUUCCCUUUUGUUUCCUCAAAAAUCCCUCUCAAAAGCUUCAAACUCGGAUAAAAAUGGUGGAAGAAUAACUAAAUUUCACAAAGGCAACUAUUUAUACUCUCUGUCCAGCGACUUUCGCAUUUGUGACCCUGGGACCGCAUCUGUAGUCUCGCUUUUGCUGAACAAGUGUCGCAUCUGCGACUUUCCUUUAAGUGACCAGCAACCGCAUCUGCGAAUGCCUUUUCGCAGAUGCGAAACCGCUUCUGCGGUCUAACUUCCGCAUCUGAGGUACCUGAAGGCAAGGCAAGAAUCCACUUUCGCGGUCCUCUGCACUACUUCUGCGGCUCUGCACCUGCGAAACCCAAAUUGCAGUUGUGGUUAUGAUAGGUACCAGCUGAACCAGCAAUCUCUUAACUUCAAAAUCCUUUUGUUAUCCAUCCAAAAUCAUCCCGAGGCUCCCAGGACCUCAACCAAAAGCACCAACAUCUCCUAAUACCUCAUUCAAACUUGUACCCAUACAUAAAACACCCAAAACAACAUCGGAACCAUGGAUUAACCAAGGAUUUAAGCCUAGGAAUUCCAAAAUUCUCAAAAAUACGCUUUCAAUAAAAAAACCCAACCAAACCACAUCCGAAUGACCUGAAAUUUUGCACACAUAUCCCAAAUGACACAAUAGAGCUAUUGAACUCUUGAAAUUUUGUUCUGGUCCUUGGAUCAAAAUCUCACAAUCGAAUCAGAAACUUCAAAAAUUCAACUUUUGGCACUUCAAGCCUAAAUUAGAUACGAACCUCCAAAACACAAUCCAAACACGCUCCUAACCCUGAAAUCACCCAACAAAGCUAACAGAACCAUCGGAUUUCCAUUCUGAGAUCGUCUUCACACUGUUUUGAUUACGGUCAACUUUCCAACACAUAAGCACUCAUUUAGGGACUAAGUGUCCCAAAACUCUUCGAAACUUAAAACCAAACAUCCCAGCAAAUAAAAAUAGCAGAAAUAGACUUAUGGAAAGCAGUUAAUAGGGGAUCGAGGCGUUUAUUCUUAAGAUGAACGGCCAGGUUUUCACAUCUGCUCACUAUCACCUUAUAGUGAUCGUAUAGGUUUUUCACUGAUAAGACUCUCUCAUUUCUUUUUUCUUUUUUUUUUUUUCUCUCUUUAUUUUCCCUUCUUUUUUUUCUUCUUUUUUUCUGUGAUAAUGCAUCAGGGAGGUUAUCCAAUGCCUUUGGCAUGGGGACUUCAAAAAUUCUCAAAAAAACAUUGAUCAGAAGUUCUUGAAAGGUAAAAAGGCAAAAUGAACCUUGAAUUGAAUUACAACUUUUGGAACAAAUUGUGAAAUAAAACAAACUUCUGCCCCAAUUUUGGAGUAUUGGAUUUUUUGUUCUGAUGGGACCGAACCUAGGGUAAGGUAGCCUAUGUAUCCUUUCGGAAUCAGGUCGGACGUAGUUCAAUGACUCUGAUGCUUUAUUGUUUGACUAUUUUUCUUUAUUUCUUUUUUUACAAGUACACAGGUUCUAAAAGGUGCAAAACGAAGAAGAAAAAUACAGCUCAAAUGGGUUAACAAAAUAAUGACACCUAUUUGGAAUAGUAAGCAAAUGAUAGCAUUCUUCAUCUCGAUACGAGAAAAUCAAUGUGUGAAAGUUCUACAGUGGCCAUAUAUCAUACAUAAUAUCUUUUGACCGGUAACACUUUCUUGAUGAUGUAGGGUCCUUGCCAGUUCGGUGCAAACAUUUCUUUGGCUUCAACCAGGUGCGGAAGGAUGCGUUUAAGAACUUGUUGGCCUACCUCAAAAUGCCUAGGGGGUGCACUUUAUUAAUGUAAGCACGUGUCGUUCUUUGCUGGUAUAACUAGCCAAAACACACUGCUAUUUGCCUUUUUUUAUCGAUCAACAUCAGUUGUUCUAAUCGAGUCUUGACCCACUUAGUGUCUUCAAUCUCUGAUUCCAUAAUAAUUCGGAGAGAGGGAAUUUAAACUUCAGCGGAUAUCACAACGUGAGUUCCACAUACAAGCAGAUACAAAGUCGCACCAUUGGAUGUGCGAACAGUCGUGCGGUAUCCCAAAAGAGCAAAAGGCAACUUUUCAUGCCAUUGCCUGGAACCUUGGAUCAUCUUCCUAUAAAUUAUUCUUGAUGUUCUUGUUCGCCGCUUCAAUGACUCCAUUGGCUUUUAGCCGGUAAGGGGUAGAAUGGCGAUGCAUGAUUUUAAAUUUUUCGCAUACCUCCUUCAUCAAAUGACUAUUUAGAUUGGCUGCAUUAUCAAUGAUAAUGGUCUUUGGGAUUCCAAAGCGAUAGAUGAUGCUGGAAUGAACAUCAGCCACUUGAAAGUGACAUCAUCCAGCCACUUGGUGAAGUAAUCAAUGAAUCUAUGCCUAUUUGAAGCCUUUGGCUCGAUUGGCCAAUAACAUCCAUUCCCCAAGCAACGAAAAGCUAAGGAGAGGACAUGGGAUGUAACUCUGAAGGAGGCGAGUGAAUCAAGUCACCAUGAAUCUAGUAUUGGUGACACUUGUGAAUAAAACUUAAGCAAUCUCACUCCAUAGUAAGCCAAUAUUAUCUUGCCCGCAGAAUAUUCUUCGCCAAAACAUAUCCAUUCAUGUGAGGUCCGCAUACCCCCGAAUGCACAUCGCUCAUGAUGCUCCACUUCUGUGUCAUCUAUGCAUCUCAACAAGUUUAAAUCUGGGGUUCUCUUGUACAGAAUUUCCCCAUUCAAGAAGAAACCACCGGCGAGCUUCCUUAUAGUUCUUUUUGAUCUCCUUUGGCAUGCUCUAGAUAUUCUCUUAUUUUCAGGAAUUGUUUUAUGUCCUGAUACUAUGGCUCACCAUCUGGUUCUGUCUCAAUUGUAUUGCAGUAAUCAUGUUGAUUCCAAACUUGAAUUUCUAGUGGAUCAAUAUGAGUAUUGCCUAGAUAAGGGAGCAUCGGGGCUAAAGUUGCCAAAGUAUCAGCUAGCUCGUUGUGAAACCUGGGAAUGUACCUGAACUCGAUAGAUUUGAAUCUUUUGCUCAAGUCUUGCAUAUAUUGUCUGUAUUAAAUAAGAUUGAUGUCUCGAGUCUCCUAUUCGCCCCGAGCUUGUCGGAUAAGCAAGUCGGAAUCUACCAUAACCAAUAGUUCAUGCACAUCCAGAUCGAUAGCCAUUUUCAGACCCAUGAUACAAGCUUCAUAUUCUACCAUAUUAUUGGUACAUAAGAACCAAAGUCGGGUCGUUGCAUGGUAAUGAUAUCCAAUAGGUGAGAUAAAGAUUGCCCCGAUACCAACUCCUUUAAUAUUGACAGCCCCAUCAAAAUACAUUUCCAUACAGGGUUAUCGUCUGGAACUACUUCCUCUAUUGAGUUGACCUCUUCAUCUGGGAAGUAUGUGCUAAGUGGCAUGUACUCAUCAUCAACAAUAUUCUAUGCCAAAUGAUCUGCCAAAGCCUAUGAUUUCAUUGUCGUGCGAGUGACAUAAACAAUGUCAAACUCUGUGAGGAGGAUUUGCCAUUUUACGAGCCUGUCAGUGGGUAUUGGCUUUUGGAAGAUGUACUUUAAAGGAUCCAUUCUAGAUAUGAGGUAAGUAGUGUAGGCCAAAAGAUAAUGUCUCAGCUUCUGAGUGACCCAAGUCAAGGCACAACAUGUCCUUUCUAAAUGGGUGAACUUCUUGCUCAAAUAAUAGAUUGCAUGUUCCUUUAUACAUGUUGCAUCAUGUUGCCCCAAUGCAUCCAAAGGAAUUAUCCAUCACCGAUAGAUAUAAAAACAAAGGCCUACUAGGUUUAAGUGGGACCAGUACAAGGUGUUUUGACAGAUAAUCUUUGAUUAUGUCAAGAGCUAUUUGGCAAUCGUCCGUCUACCUGAUUGCGACAUCCUUUUUCAGCAACUUAAACAUGGGCUCACACGUGGUUGUGAGCUGAUCAAUGAACCUACUGAUGUAGUUCAUCCUCCCGAGUAAACUCAUGACUUCCUUUUUGUUCUUUGGGGUGGAAGAUCAGGAAUGGACUUUAUCUUGGAUGGAUCCAAUUCGAAGCCUCUCAGACUGACUAUAAAACCGAGGAGUUUUCUAGAUGGAACCCCAAAUGUACAGUUGGCUGGAUUAGGCUUAAGUUCAUACGUUUGAAUCCAUUCGAAAAACUUUUUCAAAUUGCACACAGGAUCAGCUUGUGUCUUUAAUUUUAUGAUGACAUCAUCGACAUAUACUUCAAUCUUUUUGUGCAUCAUAUUGUGAAAAAUGGUGGUCAUGGAUCUUAUGUAAGUUGCCCUGCAUUCUUUAAAAUUGAAUGGCAUGACCCUCUAACAAUAAGUACCCCAUUGAGUGGUAAAAGCAGUAUUUUUUGCAUCAUCUUCAUCCAUUAGAAUUUGGUGGUACCUAGCGUAGCAAUACACGAACAAUUGUAUCUCAUGCUUUGAAUAAUUAUCUACAAGAAUGUAGAUAUUUGACAAAGAAAAAUUAUGCUUUGGACUUGCUUUGUUCAGGUCCCUGUAGUUAACACAAACUCGGGUCUUUCUAUCCUUCUUCAGCACAAGCACAACAUUCGCCACCCAGGUGGUGUAUCGGACAACUCUAACAACAUUAGCUCAAUUGCUUCAUUAUAUUGUCUUUAAUUUGUUACUCACGCCUGUUUUAAAUUUUUGUUGCUUUUGUUAGACUGGUGAAAAACUAGGAUACGUAGGAAGCUUAUAAACCACUAGAUUAGUACUUAAACCCGUCAUAUCAUCGUAAGACCAAGAAAACACAUCUAUGUAUUCAAACAAAAGUUGAAUCAAGGAAUUUCUGUUUUUUUGUUCAAUGUGAGUGCUUAUCUUUGUUUCUCUAACUUCUUCAUGACUUCCGAUAUUAAUUGGCGCCGUUUUAUUGAGGCUGGGCUUAGGAUUGUUUUCAAAUUGUUCCAAUUGUCUUUUUUCUUUUCUCGACAACAUCAUCUUCAUCAUAUUCAACCUUUUGAUGUAUUAUUUCGAUAUUAGAAAAAUUUUUAUGAUCUAGGUGUGAAUUAUGCAUGCAUGUCAUGUUAUUAAAGCCGGCAUUAACAAAACUAAAAUGGAAAUAAAAUAAUAGGAAUUAGGAAAAGGAAAAGAUACAAAACUUAAUAGGAAAUUGAACUGAAUUUCAUUGAAUUUGAAAGGAUAUAAGGUUAACAUCAAAACAAAACAAUCAUACUGAGAUGUUUGGAUUACAACCCUGAAAGAAACCCAAAAUACAAAAAAAAGCUACAAAAGCAACCUACUAAGACUCCUUCCUUGUGGGGAAAGGAUUUUUGCUUCCCAGUUAUUGAGCAUGAUGUCUGGGUCAAUUAGUUUCAUAUCGGCACGACUAGUGCAUUCACCAGCCUGGAUCAUUUUCACUUUAGAAAACAUCUGGCUGGGGCCAUGGCAAAUUUCAUCAAUGUUUGCAUACGUCGAGGAAUUUUGACCCUUUCAGAGUCGUGGCCUAACGAACGUGUAGAAAAUGUGAGGGAUAGGCUGUUGUAAGACCCUUCCAAGCUUUUUGCGGUGUUUGGAUUUGUUUUCAUCUUCUUGUGUUGGCCUGAAGCCUAAGCCAAAAGUACCCUGGUUACCGAACGAAAAAUUAGGCUCCGAAAUUCCUUGCAACAAUGUCCCUAAGCCUUUUCCUGGCUCAUAACAUUGUCUCAUCAUAACUAUAACCAUCAUUACAGAUGUGGCAGAAAGAUGAGGAUACAGAAUGUGCUUUCCUUCCUCGACAUGGUCCACAAUAAAAGACUAAUAUACAAUGGACUCAGACCCUUCCUUGGACUCAAUACAUGGGAACAGAUCUUUAUAAUGGAAGACUCGUCUUCCCUGUGAACAAUAAUUUCUUGCCUGUCAUGUUUGAAUUUGAGCAUCUGAUGCAAGGUUGAUGGCACAACUCAGGCUGUAUGGAUCCAUGUCCUUCCAAGAAGAAAGUUAUAUGAAGUGGCCAUGUACACUACAUUGAAGACAAUCUCAAAGUCAACCAGUCUAAUUGUCAUGGUGAGGUUGAUCUCCCAAAUGGUAUCUCUUGCUGAGCCAUCAAAAGCCUAGAUGCAAACAUUGCUGGGUCGGAUUCUAUCUGUAUUGAUCUUCAUGCUUUGCAAGGUAGAGAAAGGGCAUAUAUCUGCACUUGAGCCUCCAUCAACCAUGACUCGCUUUACAUCAUGCCCCUCAUAUUUAACCAUCAAGUUCAAAGCUCUAUUGUGCUCGGCUCUCUCCUCGGGAAGUUCAUCAUCAGUAAAGGAGAUUAUGUUCACCUUAAAAAAGGAGAUUACCUCCCUGCUUCUACCUUGUGAUGGGGUGGCCUCCAAGUACAUAUAACCUUGGGCUUGGAACACGGGAGUGAACUUCCAACCUUGAGAUUUUUGGGAUAAAUAAAGUUGCCUUCUUUGAGCUCUAGGCGCCUUUCACAAUCAAUGGCACAUCUCGGUUGGGACUUAAUUCCAGAACUGUUCCUUCUUGAAUUGCACCUACUGUCAUUUCCACUCGAUCGACCGGCUUAUAAUUUUGAUCUCGGCAAAUCAUUCCCAUAAAAUGAACAUCAAUGUGUGCUCGCAAUGGGUUGUUUAUUAUAUUAGGAUGUUCCUCGCCAUUCAUCACUACAAUCAAUUUUAUAGAAAUGAGCCUCUCUAUGGCUCUUUUCAGAGUCCAACAAUCAUCAGUGCUAUGCCCCGGGCACCCGAAUGAUAUUCACAUCUACAAUUUGCUAGAAAUCCAUAUGAAUCAGGAUGCAUAUGGUGGGGAGCGAUAAGUCCAAUCACGCCCAUUUGCUUCAGUUUAUGGAAUAGACUAAAGUAUGAUUCGUCCAAUGAAGUGAAUUUUUCUGCUGGCCUCUGCUCUCGACCAUAAUCUUGCUAGGGAGGAGCAUUAUAGGGUGCCCAAAAAUUUUGCUGCUGAGGUCGGGGGGCCCUUGGAGCUGGUGCGCAUACCUGCUAAUUGGGAGGCCGAGUAUAUGAUUGAACAUUGAACACUUUAUAUUAUGGUCGGCCCACAGAGUAUUGAGGAAUUGGCGGGGGAUAGUAAUGAACUGAACUUUCACAUAAGGGUGCGAUGCCCUUCUUUGAACUUCCUUAGAUCCUGAAACCAUCUUGGACCCUUCAUUUCUCUUCUUUUUAUUUGCCAAACCUCCCAAUCCAUUUUUGGAUAGCUUGGGUGGUGGCCUUGAGAGCAGCUUGACUUACAAUUCUACCAUUCUCGAGGCUAUUUUCGACCAUCUCCCCUAUUUUGAUUUCUUCUGCAAAAGGUCUACCCAUCGCGGACAUCAUGUUCUAAAAGUAAUCAUGCUCUUGAGCAUCCAGAAAAACAGUAAUCAACUCGUGGUUAUCCAUGGGUGGCUUAACUUUAGUGGCUUGCUCCCUCCAGUUGAAGUCAUACUCCCUAAAACUUUCGGUCAGUUUUUUUUCAUAUUAGGCAAGGAAUUAUGAUCCGGUGCAAUAUUAAUGUUGUACUGAAAUUGUUUGAUGAAGGCCUGGGCCAUGUCAUCCCAACCAUGCCAGUGAGAGAUAUCUUGGUCAGUGAACCAUUUGGAAGCUACCCCCACAAGGCUUUCCCCAAAGUAAGCCAACCCUAGAGGCAAAUGGAUGUGAGGGAACAUGCAUAGAUCACUGAAUGAUAUACUUUUUUGACCACGUAGUCCCUGUAUAUUCUUUAUAUUCUGUUAUUGACUUUUCAUUUUCUUAGCCAUCUCAUCUGGCUCAACCGUCAUGGUAGGCUUUCCAUUUCCAUUAGUGACUCGUAUUAUGGAGUCUGAUUGUAUGGAGCCGAGACUCCGAAAGCUAUAUUUGUAGAAUAGUAUUGGCCAUCAUAAGCAUGAGAUGGUGGCUCAUUGUUUGGCCUCAUCACAGGAGGUGGUGACCGAACUGUAUAUACCAGUGUGCCAGACACGACGAGAGGGGUGUUCCUGACUGGUGUGACUGGAGGUCGCAUGUUAGAGGUAUCGGGGGUAGCAAAGACACUGUUGUUUGGCACAUAACCUUGUGGUAGAAUGUGAUCGCUUGUUGCCUGGAGCGGUGUUUGAGUAGCCUUGGAUAUGGUGGAAGUUCCCUCCGAGGGACCCUAGUGUGGAGGUUGACCGAAAACCCAAGCUUGAUAUACACCUGACAGUUGCUGUCUUAAUUUUCUCAUUUCCUCCGACUCUUGCUCAACUGACUAACUCUGCGGAUUAUCACUGACCAACUCGAUUUUAUCACUAUUAUCCAUUACCAUUUCUACCUUAGAUCUUGUGAAGUAAUGAUGCGUCAAAAGUUUCACCACAAACCAACCACCUUAAGCUUACUAUAUAAGAGGCAAAUAAAUAUGUUAGGGUUAAACAUUUUACAGAUAGGAAUCACACUUAGAUAUGCUAUGCUCCUAAAAUAUCACCAUCUCUAACAUGAUUUUUGUAAGGCUUCAUGUUUCAUUUCGGCUUAUCAGCUUGUUGACUAUUGAACUGUUAUCUCUCAUUUUUUCUUCCUUUUUCUGUUUUUUUGUUUUGUUUUUUCUUUCACUCGCCUUGUUUUGAUCCCUCACUUUCGAGUCAUUUGAAAAAUAUUUGAUAGAACCUUUUGUGGGUUGACUACGUAUCAUGUUGCCGUAUGAAUUAGAUCAUUACGUAGUUCAUGUACAUGACCCUUUUUUUUGACAAAACAAACAUCUUUUUGGUUCAUUUUUGAAUUUUUCCAAACAAAAUCUUUUUCAUUGAUUUUCAAUAUAUAUAAUAAAUUUUUUUUGAUACAAGACUCAAAAACACAAGAGUUACAUAAAGAUAAACAAGACUAGACUUGACUUAAACAGAUUUUUUAGGAUAAAAGGCAAAACUACAAGACUCAAAACACCAAAAGACUCUUAUAGACACAAAAACAACAAAAGGAUAAUGAAAAAAAGACUGAUAAAUAAAAAAAGACUUUGAUCUCUGCAGUAGAAUCCACCAACAUCAAUGUAAUCAAGGUGCUUGUUCCUACGACUGACCCCCAACAUUGCGGUAUAUCCUUUCCAAGUCUUCAGAUAUAUGGUGAGCAACGUUCGAUGAUACUUCUGCAAACCGCUCGGGCAUCAUUCCCUGACAACUCUUGCAUGCUUUUGAGGUAUAUGUGGCUACCUCAAGGAUCUUUCAAUUAAUGUAUUCUUAAGCCACAUGCAAAUCUUGAUUUUGCUGACUACAUAUCUCAGCUAGAUCCAGCGCAUAGCGGUCAUGGUCCAAGGCCAUAUCUUUCUAGCACUGAACUUCAAGUGACUCCGUUUCUAACUGAUUGAUCACCUUUCGGUAGUGGUGUUUUUAUAUUUCAAACUCCACGAUUUGGCUCUCCUUACUUGACUCAACUCCCCCUAUACCUUGGAUUAAUGGAGCAAAACCUCUACACUCAUGAUCGCACACCACCUUGAACUGCUUCUCUUUCUUCUUGUUGUUGAGCGGUAGUGAUCAUUUUUUCUGCCUAAUUUAAGCUUUGAGUGCUCACCUAUCUUGUUCCUACUGAGCCUUUUCCCGCUCAAAAUCAACCUAUUAUAUGUUAAUGGCUGUCUCCGAAAUGCCCUUAUCCUCUUGUAAAAUGUUAAUAUGAGAUUGGAACUCUUGUGCCACUUCCCCUCUGGUUUCUCUAACUCUAGCCUCGAUCUCCUCGUCCCAAUCAACUGCGUGCCUUAUGGAUCUUUCUGGCCUUUGCUCGGGGAUAGCCUAGUUGUGAAAUCACUCAAGGUAUGGAUCUUUGUGCAUAUGACUCUCUUGGAGGUUCCCCUCCCCUGAAUUCCCACACGAAGAAACGCAUGUCCUCAAUCGAGGGCCUUUUUUGCGCUCUCCCUAGCUGGCGCAUGAGUCGUAAGGGCGCAUAGGGUUGGAAACCUCUAAAACCCAUGAGUAUGGAGAACGGGAGAUACGUCGACAUAUGUAUGACACUAGCAAAAAGGAACCAAUAAUAGUUCCAAGUGAUUCUAUCAGCACUUAAUGAACCAAGAAAUUUUCGCCAGGGCCUCACUCCCUCUGGAAGAUUACAACUUAUGGCCCUGUCUGGGUGACAUCCAUUGUAAUUUAACCAAUUUUUAUUGAAAUUUAUUACUAUUAGAUGAUGAUAAAGGUGAUAUAUGAACUACAUCUACAACAGAAUGUUGCAUCCCUCGAAAUAAUCUUCACCCUCUUGGCAUCGAGUCAAAGCUUGAAAAAUAUCUCCCAAAAUCAUGGGAAGAAUGGUAUGAUCCUCGCUACUUUGCAAAUACGAGACUACCGCAACUAAUCGAACUCUGAUGCGCCUACCACGUUCUGGCAAGACCAUGAUCCCUAGAAAUGAUAUCAUGAACGCAUAGAUUUUCAACUCCCUCCAAGCGUCGUAACUCAACUGGUUGACAAAUUCUAUGCCCAAGAAGUUCUCAGAUCAUUUCUCGUCCCCAAAUCUGUCAUAAAGAUAUUUCAACAGAAACCAACCUUCAUUUAAGCAAACCAUUGGAAUUCAACGGAGGCAUAACUUCUUUAAAAAGUUGUUCACACCAACUUUUCUUGGAGUGGCAGGCCUUUUCCCACGAAGGUCUCUUCCUAAUCCGGUGAACCCACCUAAUUCCUCCAAUGUAGGCAUAUUUUCACAAUCUUUGAGCCUGAAGACAUUAUUGGCGGGAUCCCAAAAACCCACUAGAGCCUCGAUUAAAUUCUGUUAGGCUUAAUUCCCAUGAUGUUUGUGAGGAACUUGAGGUGCUUAAAUACUUGAUUAUGUUCCCAUGUAGCAAAACUAGCCCACUAAUUACAGAGAGUACUCUGGGUCUUAUCUCCGGUCAAGAACAUAGGAGGUGUCUCGUUCCUUACCCUUUUCUAACAGUUUCUUUGUAGAGAACUCAUGGUGAACCUAAGAGUAAGAUAGAAGGGUCAGGACUUACCUAAACUAUAUGCAAAUUCUUAUCAUUCGUUUUUCUUUUCUUUUUUUGUUGCCAAUUUAGGAAUCGAUCUAUUUUUAUUUAUUUAUUUAUUUAUUAUUAUUAUUAUUAUUAUUAUAUAUCAUUUUUUAAUAUUACCGGACUCAAAAGUUGAGAUGAUAAAAGCAUGAAGAAUGGCUAUUACUACGAAAAUGAUCAUAGGAAUAAAAUGAUAAAAAUAGACAAAAUAAAAAAAUAAUAAAAAACAUAUAUUACUAAAAAAGGCCCUUCGGCACCCCCCGGGAGGGGCUCAAAAGUUGUCUCAGCAAAUAUAACCAGACAAAACUAGAUAAAAUGACCAUUUUUGUGAAAACUGUUGUUCAGUACUUCUGAAAAGAUUUAAAGUUGUCUCGACAAAAAAAAGGCCAGGCAUAAGGGGGAAUUGGUAAAAGGUAAAUGAAGAUGAAUAAAGUAGCACUUUUUAAAAAAAAACUGUCCCUUCAAUACUGCAAAGGAAGAUUUUAAGGUUGUCUUGGCGAAACAGCUGGAAUACAUGGGCAAAGCAGUAAAAAGGUGACCAAAAUAGAUUUUUUUUUGCUUUUUUUUCAAAAAAAUUAUGCACAUGCAGAAUUUUAUGCUCCUUUUUUGAAAAGUAUGAGCUGAACUCGAUGGAGAUUGCCUACGUAUCUCACAUCCAGUGAGAAACAAACCCGUGUAGUUCGAUAAAAUUAGAUACUUUCCCCAUUUGUUCCUUUUUAAUGAAAAUUAAUCUUUACAACCCACACCAGACUACUACAAAAUCUUUUUUUAAAAGGUUUAUUUGCACUAAGCUAGGAGAAUUAUUCCUUUUUUUUUCAUUUUUUUUCAUUUUUAAUAAUUACACUAAUUCUUUUUUAAAGUCGGUCGAAAAUGUAAGUAAGCCUUCCAAGUAAUGUAUCAAGUAGCACAUAAGUGAACAUGAUGGUCUCAAAGAGGAUAUCUGUUUAUACAGACUCGGCCACUGUGCCGAGUUUCGCUAAGUCAAAUGCACGUAAAGCGAACCUACUAGGGAUAUCCGGAACGAGGUUUUUUCUUCUAGGUUUAAAUUCUGGCGGAGAAGGUAUCUAGACUGGCUUACUCGAGCGGACAACUCGAGCCGAGGAGGGUCGGUGUACCUGUAGCAUUGCAUUCCGGCUUAACUGGUAGUACUCCCUGCCUAAAGUAUAUGUGACUAAAAUUCUUCACCGGGUGACAAGCACCUCGGCUAUCUAAAAAAAAAGGCUAUGUCAAGCAAAUGCCCAAUUUAAUUUCAAGAAGACUCAAAGGGGGUGCGCUAGAAAAUAGUGUAUAUGUACAGUUCAACAAUAUCAAAACGGUAAGAAUCGAACAAGUAGCACAUUGCACAAAUAAAUCAUAAUAUAUAUGAAAUUAAUAAAGCCAAAUAAAAAGUUAACAUGUACAAGCUCGAAUUCUAGUUAUUCUCCAGCGGAGUCGCCAAAGCUAUCAAACCCCUUUUCUACCCCCACAAAAAAAAAUAGUUACGGAUUGUUGUCUUGAUUUGUGGGUUAAAGAGUUUUUCCAAUUAAAGUGACAAAUUUGAGUAGAGAUUAUUUUAUUUACAGAGUCGCCACUUGGAAUAGAUUUGGGUAUUCCAAGUCACCUUUUAUUUUGGUCCAUGUUUUGGGCCAAUUGUGCUUUAAAACCAACAAAAUCAAUCCAUAUAAACCCCAUCACUCAUUAUUUAAGAACUCUAAUUCUAAGAUCUACAAACACACAAAACAAAUCUAAAAAAAGGUAUAAUGUAGGAGAAAAGAAAAAAGUAAAAAUUAGGUAUUUACACCAUAUGACUUGGCACCACUUGGAAUUGAUAUUUUUGGUAUUCCAAGUCACCAUUCAUUUUAAUCCCUAUUCAAAGGAAGGUUUGACUAUUUUUUUAUCGGUCCGCGAAAAUAAAGUUCGGGUAAGGAAUUCUGUUGACCGAGAGCAAGUCAUUCUCCGAGUCCCGUGGUUCUAGCACGAUCGCUUUAUUGACUUAAAUUUGGCUUAAAUUAAUUUGGACAAACUGUAAUUUAUAUGAUUUUCAUAUUUUACCUAUCCGCUUUUAAUCUCUUGAUUGUUAGAAUUAUUAAAAAAUAUUUUGGUAAUAAGAUGUUAUAAUCACACUAUGCAGGCGAAUGCGUGAUCAAAACGAAAUUUAUUGAUUUAGUCAUAACAUCGCUAAGCGAAUCCAUAGACUUGACAAAGAAUUAUUAACACGUUAUUACAUUUAAGAGAAAGAAUUUUUUUUGUGAAAUUCAUUAAAUGUCAACUACCAUGUUAAUGCAAGCGAAUCCACGAUUAUAGCAAGGGAUUAAUUAAGAAUUAAUUAGUCUAUUGAGAUUAUUGAACUAAUUUAAUAAAGGUUAAAUAUCACGCUACACAAGUGAGUUCAUGAAUAAAAAGGGCUAAAGCGCAUCUACUACUUGCCCAACAUUUAAACUAAUUAUCAAAAAGACUAAGUUAUGAAGUUAUUUAAUUAUAAAAAAAAAAUUGAUUAUUAAUUGGCGAAAGAAACUAUGUACAUGAAAGUUAGGCCGUAGCUUGUGGUAAAUUUGGGCCAACUAGUGAACUAGAUUAUUAUUGUAUUAGCGGGCCAAAAUUCAUUAAAAAAAAGAAAAGAAAAUGUGGACUAUCAACUUUACUACACAAUUCUUUGGGUCCGGUAGAUUCUUCAAUUAUUCUCGUACCUAUACAGCCCAUUAACAAUUACAUAAUCUUUUACCAAAUCCUUCAAGCACAAACACGUCCAGUUAGAAAUUCAUGCCCAUUUCCUUACUUAACUCCACCAUUCUAAUAAUAUUUUAUUGUUUUGAUAAGUUAACAAGGAUUAAAGGGAAAAACUUCUCUAUUGUGGCAUUAUAAGAAAUGGAGGAGAUAAACAAAAAUUAAACUUAUCAAUUACUACCAAAGCAUAUGACAAACUAAAGAAAGUUCAUGGCCUCCACAUUGUAAUCCAAUAUAGCAAUGGAAGAACAUAAAAUAAAAACAACAACAAAUAAUGUAACUAACAUAGCAAAAGUUUUUUUUUAAAACAAAAGAUGCAUCCACAAUUUUAGUUGCAUCCGAAAAUCAGUUCUUUUAUUACUAUACGCAAUUCUCUACUUGCACAUGAACAUGGAUAACAACAAAAGGAUAAUCUUACUCUCCAUAUGCACGCGUCAUUGAAACACUCAUUUCUUCACUAAAUCACAACAAUCAUGCUCAAAUAAUAGAGGCCGGUUAGCACCUUCAACACUCGACAUCGAAAAUCUGCAUUACAAUAAAUUUAAAAGUUACAUGAAUAGCAGAAAAUCAAAAUACAACAAAGAUGGAACUCCGGAUGUUUAGUUGUAGAUUUUUCUCAAAGUUUUGUCUUUUUAUUAGAGUGUUAAGGAUGUUCAAGUUCUCUUUUUUUUUCUUCUUGUGUCUCCAGGAUGUUCAAAAACUAUCCCCCUUAAUUGAAAGAAAGAUCUCCUCUUUAUAUUAUAGGAGAUGAGGGACAGGAUUUCAUUAUGAAAAUCUGUUCUUUAGACAUAAUCUUUACCAAAAAUUUGUCUAAACUAUUCAAAGGAUAGAUUUUUGGUUAAAAAUCUGUCUAAGACACAACGUUUUUACCAAACAAUGACAUGCAUUUUGGAAAUUAGUACUCAAAAAGUCUUUGAACAGUAGAAAGUGAUCAAAUAUGUACCCUAUACUCAAGUAUUCAACCUUUGUUUUCAACACAUGACUAAAAUAUAGCUUAUAUACUCAAACUCAAACCAACUAUAAACUAGCAAAACAGAAACAAGACUUAAAAUGUAAUUGAACUAAAUAUUCAAAAAAACUAAAAUAAAGCCAAUCGAUUUAUGGGAACUAAACAGUAGAUAAUUGUAAUCAGGAAACACUACCUAAAAUACAACUUAAAUGAAUAUUGAUAAGCUAUCUAACAACGACUAUUAUUAACUUAAACAAUGACUAAUUAAACGACGAUUCAACGACAUUAAGAUCAAUUUGGUCGAUGAAAAAUUAAUAAACAACUAGGCUAAAUAUAAUCAUCAAUCACACUAUUGAUCAAAACGAACAAAACAAAAAGAAAAAAUUCAGAAACUAAAAGAAAAAUAAAAAGAGUUAGGGGUUGUACAAAACGAAACAAGCCGACUCUCCUCAAAUCUCAAGGGCAAUGUAAACCGCAACAAAUUAACCGCUCGAGCACUGGGAAAUACAACUUUCAGCAAAUCAUGCCAAAGAGAAAAUAGUGUUGGGAGGGGGUUAUAUUACACACAAAAGAAGAGUUUCAGGGGUCGUUUGGGUGGUGGAGCAGCGGUGGUUGGAUGUCGGCAGUGAGGGUGGUGACAGAACAGAUUUUGGGGGUUAAAUUAAAGGGAAAGUGUAGAUCUCCUAGAGAUAUACACGUAUAUAUGAGGCUUGUGAGGUGUGGAUAAUUGGUAUGUCACUAAUUUGAGGAAAAAAAGUAAAAAUAGGGGGGCUAGGGAUUCAGAUUUGGCUAGAUUUGUGGAAUUUGAUAAGGAUUUUGGAGAUUUGGGAUUUGGACAUGGAAAGAAGAGGAGGAGACAAAGAAAUGGUGAAAAAAUAGGGUCGAUUGGAGGCCGUUUGCCGGCAGUGGAGAUUUCCGGCCGACGGAAUAGGGGCGGCGGGUGACGGGUGGUUCUUGUGAGAGAGGAGAGAGUAAAUAGAGGAGUGAAAUAGAUAAUAGGGAAAAAUGAGGUAAAAUUUUAGCUUCUUUAGAG
Molecule: long non-coding RNA, 17014 nt
Filed under: Nicotiana benthamiana
Lineage: Eukaryota; Viridiplantae; Streptophyta; Magnoliopsida; Solanales; Solanaceae
Description: long non-coding RNA (NBEN_LNC034716)
Source: RNAcentral